Molecule: long non-coding RNA, 710 nt
Organism: Amphiprion ocellaris (clown anemonefish)
Lineage: Eukaryota; Metazoa; Chordata; Actinopteri; Pomacentridae
Source: Ensembl
AGGAAAGACGAAUAACGAGUGAAACUCCGAUGUCCGAGUGCUUUCGAAUGCACCACGUAAACGUCACGUCCUGUACAGUCUAUGCUGCUGCAGAUAGGAGGCGACAUGACUCUCCUGAGGGGGAUGCUCUUAGACCUCACUCAUGUGGAUGACAGCUGGACUUCGGUGUGGCCGGCAAAACGCGAAAGAGACAGUAAAGAAUGAAGAGGAAGGGAACCACCACCAGCUUUUCCAAGCCUAAAAGAAGAGAGGAGGAAGAACAUCCCAGAGAGGAGAUGGAGGAGGAAGAGUUAAGAGAAAGAAAUGAAGGCAUGCAGAGCUCAGACAGCGAAAGACCAAAGAACUACAGACUCUUCACAACCUGCUCAAACUCUUGGUACAGGACCUCACCACACGGGUCAAGAAAGUUUCUGUCUCAUUUCUACUCUGAAGAUCACCUUCUCCUGCUCAAAUUGCUGACAAAUGUUUCUGCUGCUCUAAAGUCUGGUCUCCAGAACUUCCUAUAAACUCUCAAAGUGUCUUCUGCUGCAGGUUGCUUUGUAGAACUGUUACAGAAAACCUCACUAAACCACAUGGAGGUGCCUCAAGAUAGUCGUCCAAAUGAAACCGUACAAAAACCAAACUAGCACAACCCAAACACUAAAGUCUCCUGCAGCCUACCAGAGAACCUCUGAGAACAGAGAAUCAGGACAGGAACUCUUACCUUCUGG